GCACUUCUUCUUCUUGCUCUUGCAAUCUUCAUCGGUAGAACACUUUCGCAGACACUUCUGGCCGAACAAUUCCGCCUGUCCCUCGUUUCUUGGACACGCCGCCGACGGGGAAUUCCUCGGGUUCUUGUAUAUGCGUCCGUCAUCGUCCACCUCCGGUUUCGUUUGAUAACUCUGCUCGUCGGUGUCGUCGUCCUCGUCGUCCUCGUCGUCCCAAUCAUCGUCGUCGUCGUCGUCGUCGUCGUCAGCCGCUUGUUGUCCGAGUCUCGCUUCCGACGCGAGGAAAAAGAUACACAAAAGUAGAAGAUGCAACAAAAGGAAGCCGCCGGGUCUCAUUUUAUCAGGCGUUUGUUUGAUACUGCUCGUUUCCCGGACAAAACGACUCACACGCGUUUCGACGUCGACCGAACAACUCGUUUUAUUCGUUGAACUCGUGAGUAACGACGCGUUGAGAGAACGAUUUACGAGACGGCAGACACAAAUUGAAAAACUGUUUCACCAGAGAUGAUGAUCACCAGACGCGGUGGCCCAUUGAACGGUACUCCGUUCCGGAAGCUCCGCUUAAAGUAGCAGCAGUCUCAUCCCGAGGCACCGCGCGCACGAGGACGACGUCGUUUCUCUCGCGACCGUGACUAUUAAUCGAGUCUGCCUCUUCGGCGUCCAGGAGGAUUAGGACGGUGUCUCUGUCUCUGUCUCGCUCGCCACCUCUCUGUUCCCCUAACUCUGUGGCAAUUUUUUUCUUUAUUGUGCGGACUGCGGCCCCGUGCUGCCGGGAAUUCGCGGAUACUCGCGCAUCUCUGCACGCGCAUUCAGCCUGUUCAAUACAUCUCCUCACUCGUGCAGCUUCCAGCAGAUGGCGAGGGACAGGGGAAAAGCCCUCGGAGUUGCGCAGAAACGUGCCAUCCUCCCCUUCUAUCCCGACACAUACACCCCCCCCCCUCCCUUUUUCAACCGUUAUACGUUCUUGUAAGGGGGUGGCUUCGAUACAGUUUUAUACACGGUUACAGUCAGCAACAUGAUUCAUUCGCCGCGCGUCUAGAACCGUAUCGAAUACGUUCCUCUGAUCAAGACAAAUCUUCUUCCUUCCUCCAUUUAUAUUUGUUAGAUUUGUUUGCCAUAUGUCGGAGGCGGAGGAAUUGCGAGGUGUUAACUUCGUCUAACAUGUAUUUUCUCUGGUUCCAGUAUCGGAAAGAUGGUUUUGCGAGAACGAUAACUGUGAAACAUCACUAACGAAGGAAAAUCUCUACGAUCGUGCACCUUUAAUGCUAUGACGUCGACCGAAUGCAGUCCCCUGGCAGGAGAGAUGAGUAAUGAUCUGCCAGCGAUACAAAUCGUUGCGAUUCACCUGCAGCCGAU
This 1353-nucleotide unclassified non-coding RNA is filed under the name Bombus terrestris (buff-tailed bumblebee). Its description in RNAcentral is "misc RNA ENSBTSG00005023228.1". Lineage: Eukaryota; Metazoa; Arthropoda; Insecta; Hymenoptera; Apidae. The record is from RNAcentral.